RNAcentral lists this transfer RNA (78 nucleotides) under Butyricicoccus sp. 1XD8-22. Its description in RNAcentral is "tRNA-Met". It matches the Rfam family "tRNA". From Rfam's summary of the family: Transfer RNA (tRNA) molecules are approximately 80 nucleotides in length. Their secondary structure includes four short double-helical elements and three loops (D, anti-codon, and T loops). Lineage: Bacteria; Bacillati; Bacillota; Clostridia; Eubacteriales; Butyricicoccaceae. The record is from RNAcentral.
GGAUCUUUAGCUCAGUUGGUCAGAGCGCCAGACUCAUAAUCUGCGAGGGCCAGGGUUCGAGCCCCUGAAGAUCCACCA